AGUGAACGCUGGCGGUAGGCCUAACACAUGCAAGUCGAACGGCAGCACAGUAAGAGCUUGCUCUUACGGGUGGCGAGUGGCGGACGGGUGAGGAAUGCAUCGGGAUCUACUUUUUCGUGGGGGUUCACGUAGGGAAGCCUAAGCUAAUACCGCAUACGACCUACCGGUGAAAGCGGGGGAUAUUCGCACCUUGCGCGAUUGAAUGAGCCGAUGUCGGACUGGCUAGUUGGCGGGGUAAUGGCCCACCAAGGCGACGAUCCGUAGCUGGUCUGAGAGGAGGGUCAGCCACAUGGGAGCUGAGACAGGGACCAUGCGCCUGCGGUAGGGAGCAGUGGGGAAUAGUGGACAAUGGGGGCAAGCCUUAUCCAGCCAUACCGCGUGUGUUAAGAAGGCGUUGGGGUUGGAAAGCCCGUUUGUUGGUAAAGAAAAGCAUCAGGUUAAUACCACGCGGUUCUGACGGUACCCAAAGAAUAAGCACCGGCUAACUUCGUG
This 492-nucleotide ribosomal RNA is filed under the name uncultured bacterium. RNAcentral describes it as "partial 16S ribosomal RNA". It matches the Rfam family "Bacterial small subunit ribosomal RNA", at positions 29 to 507 of the family's 1533-position model. The record is from RNAcentral.